This 6378-nucleotide long non-coding RNA is filed under the name Nicotiana tabacum (common tobacco). RNAcentral's name for it is "long non-coding RNA (NTAB_LNC001553)". Lineage: Eukaryota; Viridiplantae; Streptophyta; Magnoliopsida; Solanales; Solanaceae. The record is from RNAcentral.
CCAUCUUCCUCACACAUUAUAUCCUCCAUUAUUGAAUAACUACGGCUCAUGUCUUCCAUAAAUUUCUCUUUUCCCUAAAUUGCGUUCAUCUUUGAUUCUUAUCAUGGAUCAUUUAUCGUCCUCUCUCAAGCUAGGAAGCACGAGCAAAUUCGCUUGGGGAAUUUGGUCAUGGCUGAUGAAUAUUGUCAACAUUUAGAGAUUCAAAAUACUUCAGUGAGUACUCUUUCACCAAAUUAUUACAAUAAUUGAUGUAUGUUCUCGAAUUGUUUAAGGAAUAUUGCAUAUUUUGUUUUAUAGAUAUUACUUCUUGAAUAUUAAAUUAUAAUUAUAUAUUAAAAUUUUACUUUAGUGAUUUAAAUUAAUUUGAUUGCAUUAUCUGUCGUUUUAUUAUAUUUGGAGAGAAUUAUAACAACAAAAUAAAAUAAAUAAAGUUGUAAACCAUUGCUUUAGCCUUUAGGUACUAACAAGAUCGUUGCAAAUAGGUAAUAAAAAUUUUGCAAUAGUUUAAUUAAAUUGUCGCAAUUUUCUUUCGAAAUUGUUGCAGUACCCUGUUAAGCCGUUAUUUUAUGUCCUACUCCCUCUGUUUCAAUCUAUAUGUGAACCCAUUUAAUUGGGCACAGAGUUUAAGAAAAAAGAGAAGACUUUUAAACUUGUAGUAUAAGAUGAGUCAUAUAUAUUUUGUGUGGCUAUAAAUCAUUACAUAAAGGUAAAUUAUUUUUAAAUAAGAAAAAUGGUCAUUUUUUUGGGCACAGACUAAAAAAGAAAUAGGUUUAAGUAAAUUAAAACGGAGAGAGUAUUAAUUUUCUACCAGCUAUAAAUUAAGGAAAUGAAGAGACUAAGAAGCAAGCUUGCAGAGAAAGAAAUUCUCCUUCAUUGCUGAAUCAGAGAGGAGAUUAGAAAAUGAUCUCUUACAAAAUGGAGACUAACUACUACCGUUAAUAUAAACAACUAACUUAAGUCAGUUACUAACUUCUAAUAUAUAUACCUCGGUCCCUCAACCUUCCAUAUUAACUAAUUCAUCACCCUGACUCAAUACUCCCCUCAAGGUGGAGGGUAGAAAAAUAUUCUUCACUCCUAACUUGCUAAGUAGGUGAUGAUGAUGUGCUUUACCAAGACCCUUUAUCAAUAGAUCUGCUAUCUGAUUCUUGGUGCUCACAUGAAUGGUUCUGAUAACACCAGCCUUGAUCUUCUCCCUAAUAAAAUGACAGUCGAUAUCUAUAUACUUUGUACACUCAUGAAAUAUUGAAUUUACUGCUAUUUGGAUUGCAACUUUUUUGUCACAUAUUAUGUGUACUGGUUGCUUAUGUUUAACUCUCAAUUCACUAAAUAAACUAAUUAACUAGACCACCUAAGCAACAGUAUAUGCCAUGCUUCUAAACUCUGCUUCUGCUGAGCUUCUUGCCACUGUCUCCUGCUUGGAUUUCCAUGAAACCAAAGCAUCCCUAUAGAAUACUAAGUAACUUGUAACUGACCUUCUAGUUUGAACACAAGCCCCCCAAUCUGCAUCGCAAUAAGCUGUCAGAUUACCAUCACCAGUUGAGGGGAGCAACAUCCCUUGUCCUGGUGCUUUUUUGAUGUACUUUACCACUCUCAUUGCUGCCUCCGAAUGGAAUUAUUUUGGAGAGUACAUAAAUUGGCUAAGUGUCUGCACAAUAAAGGAUAUGUCCGAUCUAGUCAUUGUGAGGUAUAACAACCUUCUAACUAGCCUUUGGUACUUACCAAAAUCUUUUAAGACUUCAUCCUGACAUCCUUUUUCUUGUGCAGAUAUCAGCUUAUCAAAGUCUGUUGAGGUUAGUUUCUGAUUUAUUUUUAAGGUAUUCUUUUCAUAGCAUCCAUAGGCAUAUGACCUAGUCUUUUAUGCCAAAAAGGGCCAUUUGUUCUAUUUACAAUUACUGUGAAAGUAAUGAGGCUAACCGGUAAUCCUGCUUCACAUUUGUUCUUGAUGGUCUAAUCCAACACAUACAAUCUAUGCUCCACUCUACUAAUCACCUUCACAUUCCCAUUGAAGAUGUCCUGGAACACACAACAGUCAGGAUAGAAGGAGAUGAAGAACCCUACAUCUUUGGUGAGCUUAGAGACUGCUAGCAAAUUGUAUCUAAACUGGGGUACAUAGAGCACAUUUUUAAUCAACAAUCCAUUUAAUAUGCUGGAAGAGCCUAAAUGAGUAAUCAUACUUGUUUCUCCAGUAGGCAACAAUACCUUUCUCAUGUUAGCCCUAGACAACUCCACAUAGUCAAUAUACACAUGCAGGCUAGCUACCAUAUGAUUAGUGGCCCCUGAGUCUAUUAUCCACAUAUUUUCCUUGACCAUACUGAGGAGUGACAAAGGUAUACAUGUAACCUUAUCACGUGAUGCUGUAUUAACAAAGGUACUAGUCUUGUUAAGCAUUUGAAGAAGUUGAUGAUACUGCUCUUCAGUGAGGAAGUGUCCUGCAAGUGUGAUGAUUGUGUUCCCCUUUGCUCUUUUAUAAUAACCCUGCCGGUCGUUUUGAGUAUUUUAGCCCCAAUCCCCUAUUUUUUGCCUCCUCUAUGUUGUAUUAUGGUUACGUGACUUGGCGAGGGUGUUUGGUUUUAGUUUCGGAGUGAAAUGGGACAUAUAGUCCCUAAGUUGGAGGCUUAAGUUGAAAGAGUUAACCGUAGUUUGACUUUUGUGUAUAUGACUCCAUAAUAGAGUUUUAAUGGUUCCAAUAGCUCCGUAUGGUGAUUUUAGACUUAGGAGUGUGUCCGUAUGUUGAUUUGGAGGUUCGUAGGUCGUUUCAGUGUGAAUUAGAAAAAAUUAGAAAGUUAAAGGUUUGGAAGGUUCGAAGGUUUGAUCGGGGGUUGACUUUAUUGAUAUUCGGGUCGGAUUCUUAUUACGGAAGUUGGAAUAGGUCCUCAUGUCAUUUAUGACUUGUGUGCGAAAUUUGAAGUCAAUCAGAGUUGUUUUGGUAGGAAUCGACAUUAGUUCAGAAUUUGGAAGUUCAUAGUUUCCAUAGGCUUGAAUUGUGUUGCGAUUCGUAGAAUCAAUAUUGUAUGAUAUGAUUUUUGGCCUCGAGUAGGUCCGUUAUGUAUUUUGGAACUUGUUGGUAUAUUCGGAUGGGGUCCCAGGGACCUCGAGUGUGAAACAGAUUGAAUCCAGAUCAAAAUUGAACUUGUGUGAUUGUUGAAGCUGGGCUGUGUCUAGUGCAAUCACACCUGCACAUUUUGGGUCGCAGGUGCGGCACCGCAGAAGAGGCCUUCGAGUCGCAGGAGCAAAAGUUGCCUUGCCCAGCUGGGACCGCAGGUUUGAAGCAGAUGUAGAAGCGGGCUCACGGAUGCGGUGGCUGCCCUCGCAAAAGCAAAAUUUGGGGAGCAGCCUUGGGCAUGACCACAGAUGCGGUCGUUUCUCUGCAGAAGCGGGCUCGCAGGUGCGAGCUUUUGUCUGUAGAAGCGGAACGUCUGGAUUUAAGUUGGAACUGCACCAGCAAUAGAUUUUUCGUAGGUGCGGUGUCACAGGUGCGACCCCAGGCCCGCAGAAGCGAGGAUCACUGGGCAAAAAAGGGGUCUUUGAGGGUUUGAGUUUCAUAAUUCAUUUUUGGACCUAGAGAGCUCGGUUUGUGACGAUAUUUCAGGAGAUUUGUAAGGAAAACAUUGGGAUAAAAAAUUCUAACUCGAUUUUGGUUAAAUUACAUAAAUUUAUUGUUAAUUUCAUCAUAUAAUUAGUGAUUUGAGUUGGAAAUUUGAUAAAAAAUUGUGAAAACUUCUUAGGCUAAAAUUUGGGGAUUUGAAAGGCGAUUUGAAUUCAGAUUUGAGUAAUUCUUAUAUGGUUGGACUCGUUAUCGAAUAGGUGUUCUGAUUUGAUAAUUUUGGUCGGGUUCCGAGAUGCGAGCCCGAGUUGACUUUUUGUGUUGACUUUUUAUUUCUUGUAAAGAUCAUAAUUUUAUUGUUCGAAAUAGUUUCCUAUAGUUUAUAUUUAUAGUAUGAAGUUGUUUUGGCUAGAUUCGAGCCAUUCAAAGUUGGAUAAUCGAGAGAAAGGCUUACUAGUGGAUUGAGUUAGGGUGUUUUGAGGUAAGUGUCUUGCCUAGCUUUAUGUGGGGGAAUUAACCCUUAGGAUUGGUGUUGUUUGUGAUAAUUGUGAUGUGUGAAAGCCGUGUACGCAAGGUAAUGAGUGUGUGCACGGGUUAAAUAUAAAAAUUAUCGAUUUUAGCUAUGUAGAUUCCUUUCAUGCCUUAAUUAAGUUACUUUAACAUGUUAUAUUCAUCAUCAUUAGGCUAUCUUCAUAUGCUCUACUUGUCUUAUCUCUUACUUGUUAAUUGAUCUACAUGUUUAGUUGAAGUAGUUAUUUCCUUCAUUCCUUAUUCAUUAUUUAACUGUGAAUUCUUUAUUUGAAGUUGCUAUUCUUGGAAUAUCUUGUUCUUGAAGUUGGUAAUGAGUUAUAAAGUCCGCGAUUCAUAUUGAGGCAAGGUUAUAAAGUAUGAAAUACUAUUCUUGUUGAGUUAUUCCGUUUCGAUGGUUAUUGCUGAGACUCUUGUGAACAUUGUGGUUGAGCCAUGUGCUAUUUAUUGUGAAAAUACUGUUUUUGUUGAUUUCUUUGACAAUUGUGAUUAUUGGGAACUUUUAGGUGCGAUUUGUGAUACAUUGUGAUUUUGANNNNNNNNNNNNNNNNNNNNNNNNNACUUAAAGUCACACGAUGUGAUAAGGUGGGCUAAAACGUGGGAAGCUAUUUCGGAAAAAUAAUUUUCAGAACUAAAUGCAAGGCUCUAGCGGUGAUAUAAGAAAAGAUUGUGAAUUAUUUUAUGAUUUGAGACUACGAGGCGGUACCUUGGUAGUGACUCUUGUUGAUACUUCUCUAUUACUUCACUUGUGUUUGGUUGUUUCAUUUCCUUGGCAUAACAUCCCUUAUUUUCUUUCGUGAUGCAUUACUUGUCUUAGUGUAGUUAAUCUUGGUAUGUUCCUUACUUGUUUCAUUUCCAUUGUUAUUAUUAUUACACUGUUAAUUACUCGUUCUGUUUCUUAUUUAUUCCAGUAGGGCCCUGACCUGACCUCGUUACUACUCUACCGAGUUUAGCUUGGCACUUAUUGGGUACCGUUGUGGUGUACUCAUGCUAUACUUCUGCAUAUUUUUUUGUGCAGAUCCAGGUAGGGCUGUGCAUUUGGAUCGAAUAUCCGAAAAUCCGAACCGAUCCACUCUAUUCGGAUUUUCGGAUUUUGGAUAUUUGAAUUGGAUAUGGAUUAUGUUUUUUUAAAAUUUUAGAUAUCCGGAUUGGAUUCAAAUUGAUAUAGUUUUAAUUCAAUCCGACCCGAAAUCCGAAAUUAUAUGGACCUAUAUAAAUACUAGACUAAAAUUUUAGGGUUAGGUCUUCUUUCUUAUUUCAUUUUUCAGAUUUAGCCACUUAGGUUAUAUCGAUACACUCUCUCUCACGCUUCUCUGUUGCGCCUCUCUUCUCCAAGACUCCAACUCUCUGUUCGAUUUCUAUUCUCAGUCACAGUCCUAAUCGACGGUAAGACUGACGUCUCUUUUUAACUAUUAAUUAUUAUUGGUUCCAUGGUUGCUUUCUCCCUCUUUCUUAGAGCUUAAAGGUGGUGUUUUUCACCUUUUAUUUCACCGAAGAAAUCAAAAUAGAGGUGUUUCAAGAAGAAAGCGUUGAACUGUUGAAGGAGAAGAAUGGUGUUUUCAUCAUAUUCACUGAAUAUAUUUUGUUAAAUCAGAAUGCGUUUUCAUCAUAUUCACUGAAUAUUUUCCCCCUUGGGAAUCAAUCAUAUGAGAAUAACUGAAGACAUGCUUUGGCUUAAGCUGUCACUGCACAGAAAGUUUCUAAUGCUUUUAAAUUUUAAUUCCUCCUUGUGUUGUAUCCUGUUUCAGGUCUUUUAACUUUUAAGUAUAAAGUAGUUUAUCACUCUAUUCCAAUCAAGCAUUCUUUAGAUGCAGUAGCUUAUUGGAAUCUUAGAUUAGAAAUAGUUUUUAAGUCCACUGGAGACAUUAACUACGAAGUGCAGUAGCUUAUUAGAUUAGCAAUAAGCCUUAAUAAUACGUACAAUUCGAUCCGAAAAUCUAAAAUAUUUACCCGAUCUAAACUUUAAAAUCCGAUGCUAAUUUGGAUUGGAUUCAGAUUGUAUUUUGUAGAAUCCAAAAUUCGAAAUUUCAAUCCGAAAUAUGCUAAAUUCGAUCCGGUCCGACCGAUGCACAACCCUGGAUCAAGGUACUUCCUACCAAUCCAGGCAUCUGUGAGUUGAGUUCGUACGUGGAGACUUCAAGAUACACCUGCCAGCAUCCGCAGGCCUCGGAGUAACCUUUUAUCUACUUUUAUAUUUUCCUUCUUUUACUAGUUAUAGUUGUAUAGGGAUGGCUAUGAUACCGUUGUAGAGCUUGUGACUCGAUAUCACCAGGUUUUGGGAAAAUUGUAUAUGUUUAGUUAUGGAG